ACCCUCACAAGGGUGUGGACUUGAC
RNAcentral lists this non-coding RNA (25 nucleotides) under Cricetulus griseus (Chinese hamster). The record is from RNAcentral. Lineage: Eukaryota; Metazoa; Chordata; Mammalia; Rodentia; Cricetidae.